UUGAACGCUGGCGGCAGGCCUAACACCUGCCAGUCGAGCGGAUGAAGGGAGCUUUCUCCUGGAUUCAGCGGCGGACGGGUGAGUAAUGCCUAGGAAUCUGCCUGGUCGUGGGGGAUAACGUCCUGAAACGGGCGCUAAUACCGCAUACGUCCUGAGGGAGAAAGUGGGGGAUCUUCGGACCUCACGCUAUCAGAUGAGCCUAGGUCGGAUUAGCUAGUUGGUGGGGUAAAGGCCUACCAAGGCGACGAUCCGUAACUGGUCUGAGAGGAUGAUCAGCCACACUGGAACUGAGACACGGUCCAGACUCCUACGGGAGGCAGCAGUGGGGAAUAUUGGACAAUGGGCGAAAGCCUGAUCCAGCCAUGCCGCGUGUGUGAAGAAGGUCUUCGGAUUGUAAAGCACUUUAAGUUGGGAGGAAGGGCAGUAAGUUAAUACCUUGCUGUUUUGACGUUACCAACAGAAUAAGCACCGGCUAACUUCGUG
RNAcentral lists this ribosomal RNA (483 nucleotides) under uncultured bacterium. RNAcentral's name for it is "partial 16S ribosomal RNA". It matches the Rfam family "Bacterial small subunit ribosomal RNA", at positions 30 to 507 of the family's 1533-position model. The record is from RNAcentral.